ACCACUCUGGGGUCACUUUGUGUCCCUUUGGGGGUCACUCCGUGGUCACUUUGGAGUCACUUUGGCCUCCUUGCCAUCACCCCAGUGGUCACUCCUUCGAUGUCCAGCAGGGUCCAGAUGUCCAGUGGUCACUCCCCACCACUCUGGGGUCACUCUCCCCCAUUUUGGGGUCACUUUGUCCCACUUUUGGGGUCACUUUGUCCCACUUUGGGGUCACUUUGUGUCACUUUGUCCCACUUUGUGCCACUUUUGGGGUCACUUUGUGCCACUCUGGCGGUCACUCUGUGGUCUCUCUGUGGUCACUUCACCCUUCUUACCACCACCCCAGUGGUCACUUUGUCCCACUUUGGGGUCACUUUGUCCCACUUUGUGCCACUUUGGGGUCACUUUGUGCCACUUUGGGGUCACUUUGUGCCACUCUGGCGGUCACUCUGGUGGUCACUCUGUGGUCUCUCUGUGGUCUCUCUGUGGUCACUUCGCCCUUCUUACCACCACCCCAGUGGUCACUCCUUCGAUGUCCAGCAGGGAUUCAGUGUCCAGUGGUCACUCUCCACCACUCUGGGGUCACUCCCCACCACUUUGGGGGUCACUUUGUGCCACUCUGGUGGUCACUCUGUGGUCACUUCACCCUUCUUACCAGCACCCCAGUGGUCACUCUCCCCCAUUUUGGGGUCAUUCUCCCCCAUUUUGGGGUCACUUUGUCCCACUUUGUGCCACAUUUGGGGUCACUUUGUGCCACUCUGGUGGUCACUCUGUGGUCUCUCUGUGGUCACUUCACCCUUCUUACCAGCACCCCAGUGGUCACUCUCCCCCAUUUUGGGGUCACUUUGUCCCACUUUGGGGUCACUUUGUGCCACNAGCUUUAAACAACUGUGUGUUUAAUAAAGGGCUUUAAACAACCCUGUCCCCAAUAAAGGACUUAAAACAGUUGCGUCCUAAAGUCUA
Molecule: long non-coding RNA, 945 nt
Filed under: Zonotrichia albicollis (white-throated sparrow)
Lineage: Eukaryota; Metazoa; Chordata; Aves; Passeriformes; Passerellidae
Description: lncRNA (ENSZALG00000002193.1)
Source: RNAcentral